GACGAACGCUGGCGGCGUGCUUAACACAUGCAAGUCGAACGGAAAGGCCCUGCUUGCAGGGUGCUCGAGUGGCGAACGGGUGAGUAACACGUGGGUGAUCUGCCCCUUACUUUGGGAUAAGCCUGGGAAACUGGGUCUAAUACUGGAUAGGGCCAUGCUGUAGGUGGUGUGGUGGAAAGAUUAGUUUCGGUAAGGGAUGAGCUCGCGGCCUAUCAGCUUGUUGGUGGGGUAAUGGCCUACCAAGGCGUCGACGGGUAGCCGGCCUGAGAGGGUGGACGGCCACAUUGGGACUGAGAUACGGCCCAGACUCCUACGGGAGGCAGCAGAGGGGAAUAUUGCACAAUGGGCGCAAGCCUGAUGCAGCGACGCCGCGUGGGGGAUGACGGCCUUCGGGUUGUAAACUCCUUUCAGCCAUGACGAAGCCCUUGUGGUGACGGUAGUGGUAGAAGAAGCACCGGCUAACUACGUG
RNAcentral lists this ribosomal RNA (469 nucleotides) under uncultured bacterium. RNAcentral describes it as "partial 16S ribosomal RNA". It matches the Rfam family "Bacterial small subunit ribosomal RNA", at positions 28 to 507 of the family's 1533-position model. The record is from RNAcentral.